Molecule: ribosomal RNA, 301 nt
Filed under: uncultured bacterium
Lineage: Bacteria
Description: partial 16S ribosomal RNA
Rfam family: Bacterial small subunit ribosomal RNA
Source: RNAcentral
CAGCAGCCGCGGUAAUACGUAGGUCCCGAGCGUUGUCCGGAUUUAUUGGGCGUAAAGCGAGCGCAGGCGGUUAGAUAAGUCUGAAGUUAAAGGCUGUGGCUUAACCAUAGUACGCUUUGGAAACUGUUUAACUUGAGUGCAAGAGGGGAGAGUGAAAUUCCAUGUGUAGCGGUGAAAUGCGUAGAUAUAUGAAGGAACACCGGUGGCGAAAGCGGCUCUCUGGCUUGUAACUGACGCUGAGGCUCGAAAGCGUGGGGAGCAAACAGGAUUAGAUACCCGCGUAGUCCCUGUCUCUUAUACA